CUACGGGCCGCUCCAGUGAGGAAUAUUGCACAAUGGGGGGAACCCUGAUGCAGCAACGCCGCGUGGAGGAUGACGCAUUUCGGUGUGUAAACUCCUUUUAUAUGUCAAGAAAAUGACGGUAGCAUAUGAAUAAGCACCGGCUAACUCCGUGCCAGCAGCCGCGGUAAUACGGAGGGUGCAAGCGUUACUCGGAAUCACUGGGCGUAAAGGACGCGUAGGCGGGUUGGAAAGUCAGGUGUGAAAUCCUACAGCUUAACUGUAGAACUGCACUUGAAACUUCUAAUCUAGAGUAUGGGAGGGGGAGAUGGAAUUAGUGGUGUAGGGGUAAAAUCCGUAGAUAUCACUAGAAAUACCUGAAGCGAAGGCGAUCUCCUGGAACAUUACUGACGCUAAGGCGUGAAGGCGUGGGGAGCAAACAGGAUUAGAUACCCUUGUAGUC
RNAcentral lists this ribosomal RNA (439 nucleotides) under uncultured bacterium. Its description in RNAcentral is "partial 16S ribosomal RNA". It matches the Rfam family "Bacterial small subunit ribosomal RNA", at positions 339 to 795 of the family's 1533-position model. The record is from RNAcentral.